Molecule: ribosomal RNA, 735 nt
Filed under: uncultured Pseudomonas sp.
Lineage: Bacteria; Pseudomonadati; Pseudomonadota; Gammaproteobacteria; Pseudomonadales; Pseudomonadaceae
Description: bacterial SSU rRNA
Rfam family: Bacterial small subunit ribosomal RNA
Source: RNAcentral
AUGGCUCAGAUUGAACGCUGGCGGCAGGCCUAACACAUGCAAGUCGAGCGGAUGAAGAGAGCUUGCUCUCUGAUUCAGCGGCGGACGGGUGAGUAAUGCCUAGGAAUCUGCCUGGUAGUGGGGGGCAACGUCUCGAAAGGGGCGCUAAUACCGCAUACGUCCUACGGGAGAAAGCAGGGGACCUUCGGGCCUUGCGCUAUCAGAUGAGCCUAGGUCGGAUUAGCUAGUUGGUGAGGUAAUGGCUCACCAAGGCGACGAUCCGUAACUGGUCUGAGAGGAUGAUCAGUCACACUGGAACUGAGACACGGUCCAGACUCCUACGGGAGGCAGCAGUGGGGAAUAUUGGACAAUGGGCGAAAGCCUGAUCCAGCCAUGCCGCGUGUGUGAAGAAGGUCUUCGGAUUGUAAAGCACUUUAAGUUGGGAGGAAGGGUUGUAGAUUAAUACUCUGCAAUUUUGACGUUACCGACAGAAUAAGCACCGGCUAACUCUGUGCCAGCAGCCGCGGUAAUACAGAGGGUGCAAGCGUUAAUCGGAAUUACUGGGCGUAAAGCGCGCGUAGGUGGUUUGUUAAGUUGGAUGUGAAAGCCCCGGGCUCAACCUGGGAACUGCAUUCAAAACUGACAAGCUAGAGUAUGGUAGAGGGUGGUGGAAUUUCCUGUGUAGCGGUGAAAUGCGUAGAUAUAGGAAGGAACACCAGUGGCGAAGGCGACCACCUGGACUGAUACUGACACUGA